Molecule: non-coding RNA, 31 nt
Filed under: Rattus norvegicus (Norway rat)
Lineage: Eukaryota; Metazoa; Chordata; Mammalia; Rodentia; Muridae
Source: RNAcentral
UACGGGGAACAGAAACACCUGAUCUUCUUGU